ACAGGUGGACCACCGCCCCUUCACCCCAGGGGAGGACGAGAUCAUCGUGAGCGCCCACGCCAGGUUUGGCAAUAUUGGUCCGCUAUCGCCCGCCUCCUCAACGGCCGUACUGACAACGCCAUUAAGAGCCACUGGAGCUCCACGCUCAAGAUUAAGUGCCUCUCCUAGUCUUCCUCCAUCGCCGGCCGCAACGCCUCUGAUAAUGCACGUAUCAUUGGAUGGAUAACGUUGCUUAUGAUCUGUUCU
This is a long non-coding RNA of Rhodamnia argentea, 246 nucleotides long. RefSeq lists it as uncharacterized. Lineage: Eukaryota; Viridiplantae; Streptophyta; Magnoliopsida; Myrtales; Myrtaceae. The transcript has 3 exons. The record is from RefSeq and is a predicted model, not a curated record.